GCCCUUGUUGACUCCACGGUAACAGUCUCUUAGUGAAUGAUUCCCAGGGCAAGCAUGCUGGGUUGUCCACCUCUGUUCAAGUCAACCAUUUUCCUUCCUAAAUCGAAGAAACUGUUCUUCCUCGUUCUAGAACUGUUACCUUCUUCUUGGGCUUUUAACACCUUAUACUUUAUUUGACUGACCACUUCCCCAACAGGAUGGUGUCACUCUGACUUCUACUGUUGAUUUUUUGAAAAGAGUAAGAGGAGAGAGGAAGAGUGUGGCACUGCAUGCUCCUUUAACUACUGGCCCUUGGCCCAGCAGGACAAGUAAUCCUAGCACAAUCUUCCCAGGAUAGAGAACUGAGAGCCCAGAGCUGAGAGGAUACAUAAAAGACCACCACAAAAAAAGUCUCAGAAGAUGGGAUGAAAGAUCAAGAAAGAUGGACUUCUAGAUGCUAGACCCUAUGGUCCCUCUUCCUCACAUAAGACAAGCUACCUCAUACCCUCCACGCACUGGAUGUUCCGCUCACGGUCAAGUUCCUGCAGGAACUUCCUCGAGGUCCCAAGUCCUGCUCCUGGUUUGCUGGCUUGCUCGUGUAAACCGCCUUAUAUUAUUUUUUUUUCUAAAAAUACUCCAAAGCAAUUGAAAGAGUCCCUUCUCCCACCAGCCAGCCCUGGCCCCAGCCCCAGCCCCAGCCCCGGGGAGCGGGCGGGUAGGCGGGGAGGUGGGCCACUGCUUUAUUAAACA
This 729-nucleotide long non-coding RNA is filed under the name Pongo abelii (Sumatran orangutan). RNAcentral's name for it is "lncRNA (ENSPPYG00000036857.1)". The record is from RNAcentral. Lineage: Eukaryota; Metazoa; Chordata; Mammalia; Primates; Hominidae.